GACAAAUGCUAAAUAAAAUUGAAACACCUUUUGACCAAAAAUCAAAAUCAAAAUUGAACUCCUUCUUCUCUUCUCUUCUCAAAAUCACGAAAGCUAAACCCCCAAAAUCAUGUUCAUCUGAGAAGCUCAGAAUCCCUAAUUUUCUCAUCCCUUUCCGUUGAUAAAUCCCAAACGACUCAAAAAAUUCUCUAUCCGUUGGUUUCAUCCCCAAAAACCCUAAAUUCUUUAUCUGUUCAAUCCUCCCACUUUUGUGUGGACAUUCAAGACUUACGAAGGCAGUGACGUUUGCGGCGAUUGACUGACAAAGGUUUUUCUGCGAUUCACUAAGAUGCUUGCAUACUCAAAUUCGUUAGCCAAAUCUUUCAAUUAAGCUAAAAGAAAGCAAUUGGUAUGACAAGACGUUUUCCCUCUCCCUCUCCAUGGAUGAAUUCAACCUCCCCACCCAAACUUUCAUCAAAUCCUCCAUUUUUGUGUGAAUUCAAGCAUGCAUGUGAUAACUCAUGAUCUCUCUCCAUUGAUGGAAGUGGUAGGAAGCUAAGAUGUUGGAGAUUAUUAGGAUCCGAGAUUAGAAGAAUCAUAAGAGACAAAGAGCUUUUGAAGAAAAGAUAGUAAAAUUCGAAGUUGCUUCAAAAAGGUUCUUUGGCUUUCAAGUGAAGGGGCAGAAGUAGAAAGAUUGGUGAAGGAGAUUUAGUGGUUUGGGGCUUUUGGCAUCAAGUAGAAAUCAAUCCUUGAGGUGAGUUUCCUACAUGGCUCUGAUUGUUGAUAGAACAUUUAGCUAAAAAUUGAUAGAUGAAUAUGAGUUUAUACAUAUAGAGAAAAUUAGCUAAAACUGUUUUAUAUAUUUUAUUCCCUUUAAAUGCAUUUCAAUUGAAAUUUGUUAUUGAUAUUUAGAUUGAUAAUUUGCAGAAUGAAUGAAUUUGAUACAUCACAUAAUAGGGCUGCAACUACAGGGGAUAACCUUAGAAGGAAUAGAGAAUAAGUUAAAGUUAUAGAGCUUGAUUCAUUGUUAUAGUGCAGCCCUUCGACAACUACUAGUUAAUUAAUAAUAUACACGAAUUCAUGAAAUUUGCAUUCAGUAAGUAAUAGUUAAUCUAGAGUAUUAAUUUAUUCCUACCUACAUGUGGUCAAUAAGAUUAUUAACUAUAAUGAACCAAGGUACUUAGCAAGUACGCCUUGAUUAUUCAGAUAAGAAGCGUUGUUAUGAUCCAAGUUAAUGAUCAUGAACAUCAUUUAAAAUGGACGGCUUAUGACAGGAAAAAUAAAUGUUUAACAAUAGUUGAACCCUCAGAAUUCUACAGGUUAAAACUGUCGGUUAUUAUUAAAUAAAACAAUGACAUAAUUUUGUAAAUUAGGAGGGUGGUAAGGAUCCAGAAAGAGGUGCAGGUCUGUCUAGCGUGGAUUCAAAGUAGUAUCUUGUGUAGGUCGGUCUCAAAAUGGCUCGGGAUGGUAUUGUUUUGUCGGCAGUUUUGUUGUAGUAUGUUUGUUGAUGUGUUUCUUAAUUUCUGCUUAGAGUUAACUUGGCUUUUUGUUUUGUAGUGGCUUAUAUCUUUUUUUAUCUCUCAAUUUGCUAACUUUGGCUUUUGAUUUUUUGCUAUUUUUGUUUUGUGGCAUUGUUGAUUAUCUCAGAUGUUGUAUCUUGUCUUGGUUAGCACAUUUUGUUGAAGAAUUUCAAGAUUUGGAAGCACAAAAUGAAGAGAUGCAAAUGAUGUUUAUGCGUUUAUUUUUCAUAGAUCAAUGAUAAUUGACAUUUUGAACUGGGUUAUACAUCAAAGACCGAAAAUAUUAUUUGCAUCUCAGCGGUUGACAACGGUUGUAAAAUGAUCAAUAGUACCAAUUUAAUUAAUAAAACUUUUCCCAUUUAAAAAAUAAUAAUAAUGUUAUUUAUAAGUAAAUGAGGCUUGUAAAAAACUAUGAACAUCUAGACUUCAAUGUUAUGUAUUUGAUGUCUCCCAUCGAAACCACCUAAGAUGAGAUUAUACCAUCUUUUUCUCUAGAAUGAUUGAAUUUCUAGUCUUAUGUUGUCUUGGGUAGAAGUAACAUUUUCUGCAAAAGACUUUAGAAUAUUCUAAUAGGGAAAGUUGUUUGAAACUUACUGUUGUAUCUCUAUGUUACCUUUUAUAUACUUUUUUUUUACAUUAAAGACAAUUUCAAUAACGAAAGUCUGACAAUAAAUCAAAUGUCAAGACUUAAAUAUAAGACGGAGUUUCUUCGACCCAUAUGCAAUUUAAAUUCUUAAGAGCAUAUUUAGCUAAAUAAU
RNAcentral lists this long non-coding RNA (2257 nucleotides) under Medicago truncatula (barrel medic). Its description in RNAcentral is "lncRNA gene21103". Lineage: Eukaryota; Viridiplantae; Streptophyta; Magnoliopsida; Fabales; Fabaceae. The record is from RNAcentral.